CCUACGGGUCGCAGCAGUGGGGAAUAUUGGACAAUGGGCGAAAGCCCGAUCCAGCAAUGCCGCGUGUGUGAAGAAGGUCUUCGGAUUGUAAAGCACUUUCGACGGGGACGAUGAUGACGGUACCCGUAGAAGAAGCCCCGGCUAACUUCGUGCCAGCAGCCGCGGUAAUACGAAGGGGGCUAGCGUUGCUCGGAAUGACUGGGCGUAAAGGGCGCGUAUGCGGUUUAUGCAGUCAGAUGUGAAAUCCCCGGGCUUAACCUGGGAACUGCAUUUGAGACGCAUAGGCUAGAGGUCGAGAGAGGGUUGUGGAAUUCCCAGUGUAGAGGUGAAAUUCGUAGAUAUAGGGAAGAACACCGGUGGCGAAGGCGGCAACCUGGCUCGAUACUGACGCUGAGGCGCGAAAGCGGGGGGAGCAAACAGGAUUAGAUACCCCCGUAGUC
This 440-nucleotide ribosomal RNA is filed under the name uncultured bacterium. RNAcentral describes it as "bacterial SSU rRNA". It matches the Rfam family "Bacterial small subunit ribosomal RNA", at positions 338 to 795 of the family's 1533-position model. The record is from RNAcentral.